This 489-nucleotide ribosomal RNA is filed under the name uncultured bacterium. RNAcentral describes it as "bacterial SSU rRNA". It matches the Rfam family "Bacterial small subunit ribosomal RNA", at positions 29 to 510 of the family's 1533-position model. The record is from RNAcentral.
AACGAACGUUAGCGGCGCGCUUAACACAUGCAAGUCGAACGAGAAAGGGCUUCGGCCCCGGUACAGUGGCGCACGGGUGAGUAACACGUAGGUAACCUGCCCUUGAGUGGUGGAUAACAUUCCGAAAGGAGUGCUAAUACAGCAUAAGACCACGGUUCCAUCAAGGAACAGGGGUCAAAGCGGGCCUCUUCAUGAAAGCUCGCGCUUGGGGAUGGGCCUGCGGCGCAUCAGCUAGUUGGUGAGGUAAUGGCUCACCAAGGCUAAGACGCGUAGCUGGUCUGAGAGGAUGAUCAGCCACACUGGAACUGAGACACGGUCCAGACUCCUACGGGAGGCAGCAGUGGGGAAUAUUGCACAAUGGGCGAAAGCCUGAUGCAGCGACGCCGCGUGAGGGAUGACGGCCUCGGUUGUAACCGUACUUUCUAGCAGGAGAAGACGAAAGUAGACGGUACCGUAGCAGAAGAAGACACCGGCGUAACUAACGUGCCG